This 783-nucleotide ribosomal RNA is filed under the name Triticum aestivum (bread wheat). Its description in RNAcentral is "partial small subunit ribosomal RNA". The record is from RNAcentral. Lineage: Eukaryota; Viridiplantae; Streptophyta; Magnoliopsida; Poales; Poaceae.
AUGGGGGCAAAAAUUGACCGCUCUGUAAACGACGGUGGAGGCCCAAAUUUUUUUAAGAUCAAUGGUUAGGUUUGCCAUCGUAUAGGCUCGCUGCUUCCAAAUGAGGGUGACUCUCCUAAAUAUGCAGAGUUAUACAUGCAUGAUAGAGAAAAUGAGGUUAGUAAUAGAAUUCAGGCCUUAAGUCAUGAGAAUGAAACUGGCACUGGGCUAGACAAGGAGAUUGUGAAAGGUCUUAUGCAGAUGCUUGAUGCGAAUAAUUCUUUGGUAAAAAAAUUCCGUAUGGCCAGUGAAAUCCUGAAAACUAAUAAACAUGAGGUCAUAUCAAUAAGGCUUAUAGCUCCUGGUGAAAAUGAUAGCGCACAGUUUAGUUUACCUACAACUGAUGAGCUGGCGGCUUUGGUUUAUGGUGAAUUUACAUUGGAGGCACCAUGUAGAGACCUAAUAAUACGUAGUAAAACAGACUGUCUUCGUCGUAUUUCCUCUUUAGAUACUGCUUACAUGCCUUUGCAAUACCCUCUGUUGUUCCCGUACGGUGAACGUGGCUUUCAGCUCGGUGUGCGCUACAUUGAUUCUGAUACCGAUGAUCCAAACAAGAGGGUUAAAGUGACCAUGCAAGACUUCUAUUGCUUCUGCUACCACUAUAAACCAGAGUAGCAUAACCCAUACCUAUGCUGGCCGCUGUUGAUUUCUGAGCUUGCAUUGACGAGUGCCGGCCCAAUUUUAUUCUUAAAUGUAAUGACGACAUGCGGGCUGAAAAUCUUCAGGGUGUUGUCGAUGCGGUAG